GCCUUCGUGGUGUAAUGGUCAGCACACUGAGCCAGUAUUUCAGAGGUCCGCGGUUCGAUCCCCGGCGAAGGCA
Molecule: non-coding RNA, 73 nt
Organism: Stegodyphus mimosarum
Lineage: Eukaryota; Metazoa; Arthropoda; Arachnida; Araneae; Eresidae
Source: Rfam